AACUCCUCUUGUCUUUGCAGGAUGUAUACAGGCUGGAAUAUUCAAAGGUCCUUCAACCUCCACUUUCAACCAAGAUGGACUGGCCUUCCUGACUGAAGCCACCAACAAAAGCCAGGAAAAUCUGUGAACCAAUGUUUUUCAAGACACUGGAUAUCAGUAAACAAAAGAUAUGGUGGUCCAUGGGAGACGGGAGAAAAACAAAAUGAGCCCUACAAUUUUCCCAGCUUAUGCCUAAAGAGAGAUUCCAAGAUGUGGCACAGGAAAGGGAAACUAGGGAGAGCUUAAUGAAAUUCCUGAAUUGAGGAGACAGCUUAGACUCUGGAGAGACCAAGUGGCUAACAUUCAUGGGAGAAUAUACAGCUGCACAAGGAGAACUCCAAGGGUCUGUGUAAGUUCCCCCUCAAAUAUUCAGCUAUGUGUGCAUGUGAGAAAACCACUUAAGAUCAGAGAAAGUGCCAGCUGAAAGAGUGAACAGUACUUAAAACUCCCAAAAGCCUACAAAUAGUUCCUGCUAGCCAGACUUGAAACCCCAUAAUUCAUAGGGCAUUAAGUAGAAUACUCAGAAGGGUCUAGAUUUAGUAGAGAAUAAUUUGCC
This 595-nucleotide long non-coding RNA is filed under the name Marmota monax (woodchuck). The record is from RNAcentral. Lineage: Eukaryota; Metazoa; Chordata; Mammalia; Rodentia; Sciuridae.